AUGUUCAUCAAAUGCAAAUUAUGCAAAAACAUGAAAGAAAUAAAACGUGGAUUCGAAGCAGAGAUACAUAGAAAACCAGAUAUGAGUUUGAGGAUGAAGGUUGAAGAGGUGCAGGUUGAUGAAGGAAAUAGGAUGAGGUUUUGGAAAGAUAUUUUGCAGGGCACUGGUGGAUUUGAGGGAUUUUUUGGGGGAAGUUUGGGUCCAUUUGAACAAUUCUGGUUUUGGAGUGAUGUGGUCAACAGGUUUAGGGAUAACAUCAGGGUUGUUUGGGCAGCAAUGUUUGGACAAAAUUGCAGCAGAUUGAUGCAGUUUUGUUCUUACCAUUUUGAGUUAUGCAGAGGCUAA
Non-coding RNA from Vicia faba (fava bean), 345 nucleotides. NCBI's taxonomy places the organism in Eukaryota, Viridiplantae, Streptophyta, Magnoliopsida, Fabales, Fabaceae. The record is from the annotation of a GenBank genome assembly.